UACGUAGGGAGCAAGCGUUGUCCGGAAUCAUUGGGCGUAAAGCGCGCGUAGGUGGCUUCGUAAGUCCGUUGUGAAAGUCAAAGGCUCAACCUUUGAAAGCCGAUGGAUACUGCGGAGCUAGAGUACGGAAGAGGCGAGUGGAAUUCCUGGUGUAGCGGUGGAAUGCGCAGAUAUCAGGAGGAACACCGAUGGCGAAGGCAGGUCUCUGGGCCACUACUGACGCUGAGAAGCGAAAGCAUGGGGAGCGAACAGG
RNAcentral lists this ribosomal RNA (253 nucleotides) under uncultured bacterium. RNAcentral describes it as "partial 16S ribosomal RNA". It matches the Rfam family "Bacterial small subunit ribosomal RNA", at positions 524 to 776 of the family's 1533-position model. The record is from RNAcentral.